AGUGAACGCUGGCGGUAGGCCUAACACAUGCAAGUCGAACGGCAGCACAGAGGAGCCUGCUCCUUGGGUGGCGAGUGGCGGACGGGUGAGGAAUACAUCGGAAUCUACUCCGUCGUGGGGGAUAACGUAGGGAAACUUACGCUAAUACCGCAUACGACCUACGGGUGAAAGCAGGGGACCUUCGGGCCUUGCGCGAUUGAAUGAGCCGAUGUCGGAUUAGCUAGUUGGCGGGGUAAAGGCCCACCAAGGCGACGAUCCGUAGCCGGUCUGGGAGGAUGAUCAGCCACACUGGAACUGAGACACGGGCCAGACUCCUACGGGGGGCAGCAGUGGGGAAUAUUGGACAAUGGGCGCAAGCCUGAUCCAGCCAUACCGCGUGGGUGAAGAAGGCCUUCGGGUUGUAAAGCCCUUUUGUUGGGAAAGAAAUCCAGCUGGCUAAUACCCGGUUGGGAUGACGGUACCCAAAGAAUAAGCACCGGCUAACUUCGUGCCAGCCGCCGCCGUAA
Molecule: ribosomal RNA, 506 nt
Filed under: uncultured bacterium
Lineage: Bacteria
Description: partial 16S ribosomal RNA
Rfam family: Bacterial small subunit ribosomal RNA
Source: RNAcentral